AGCUCCAACAGCACAUAUUAAAGCUGUUGUGGUCAAAAAACUCGUAGUUGCACUUUGUCGAGACUGUCUGGUCUACCCAUUGGGUGAGCAUCGGGCUUGGCUGGGGCAGAUUCUUGGGGGGUAUAGUUGCACUUGACUGUGUGGUGUAGUUUCUGAGACCUUUACUUUAAGAAAAAUUGAGUGUUUCUGGCAGGCUCAUGCCUUGAAUAUGGUGGUAUGGGAUAAUAAGGUAGGGCCUUGGUUAUAUGUUGUUGGCUUCUAGAAUUGAGGUAAUGAUGAACAGGGACACUUGGGGGAAUCUGAAUUUAGCUGUCAGAGGUGAAAUUCUUGGAUUUGUUAAGAAUGAACUAGUGUGAAAGCAUUUUCCCUGAAUGUUUUCAUUG
RNAcentral lists this ribosomal RNA (383 nucleotides) under Protoperidinium sp. Its description in RNAcentral is "partial small subunit ribosomal RNA". It matches the Rfam family "Eukaryotic small subunit ribosomal RNA", at positions 587 to 975 of the family's 1831-position model. The record is from RNAcentral. Lineage: Eukaryota; Dinophyceae; Peridiniales; Protoperidiniaceae.